GUGGCUAAUACCGGAUGUGCCGAGAGGUGAAAGGUUAACUGCCUGAAGAUGAGCUCGCGUCUGAUUAGCUAGUUGGAAGUGUAAUGGACUCCCAAGGCGACGAUCAGUAGCUGGUCUGAGAGGACGAUCAGCCACACUGGGACUGAGACACGGCCCAGACUCCUACGGGAGGCAGCAGUGGGGAAUUUUCCGCAAUGGGCGAAAGCCUGACGGAGCAAUACCGCGUGAGGGAGGAAGGCUCUUGGGUCGUAAACCUCUUUUCUCAGGGAAGAACACAAUGACGGUACCUGAGGAAUAAGCAUCGGCUAACUCCGUGCCAGCAGCCGCGGUAAUACGGAGGAUGCAAGCGUUAUCCGGAAUGAUUGGGCGUAAAGCGUCCGCAGGUGGCUAUGUAAGUCUGCUGUUAAAGAGUCUAGCUCAACUAGAUAAGAGCAGUGGAAACUACAAGGCUAGAGUACGUUCGGGGCAGAGGGAAUUCCUGGUGUAGCGGUGAAAUGCGUAGAGAUCAGGAAGAACACCGGUGGCGAAGGCGCUGUG
Molecule: ribosomal RNA, 537 nt
Filed under: Nostoc sp. 'Peltigera degenii cyanobiont'
Lineage: Bacteria; Bacillati; Cyanobacteriota; Cyanophyceae; Nostocales; Nostocaceae
Description: bacterial SSU rRNA
Rfam family: Bacterial small subunit ribosomal RNA
Source: RNAcentral